ACUCUGGUAUUGAUUGGUGCUUGCAUCAUGAUUUACAUUUGAGUGAGUGGCGAACUGGUGAGUAACACGUGGGAAACCUGCCCAGAAGCGGGGGAUAACACCUGGAAACAGAUGCUAAUACCGCAUAACAACUUGGACCGCAUGGUCCGAGUUUGAAAGAUGGCUUCGGCUAUCACUUUUGGAUGGUCCCGCGGCGUAUUAGCUAGAUGGUGNGGUAACGGCUCACCAUGGCAAUGAUACGUAGCCGACCUGAGAGGGUAAUCGGCCACAUUGGGACUGAGACACGGCCCAAACUCCUACGGGAGGCAGCAGUAGGGAAUCUUCCACAAUGGACGAAAGUCUGAUGGAGCAACGCCGCGUGAGUGAAGAAGGGUUUCGGCUCGUAAAACUCUGUUGUUAAAGAAGAACAUAUCUGAGAGUAACUGUUCAGGUAUUGACGGUAUUUAACCAGAAAGUCACGGCUAACUACGUGCCAGCAGCCGCGGUAAUACGUAGGUGGCAAGCGUUGUCCGGAUUUAUUGGGCGUAAAGCGAGCGCAGGCGGUUUUUUAAGUCUGAUGUGAAAGCCUUCGGCUCAACCGAAGAAGUGCAUCGGAAACUGGGAAACUUGAGUGCAGAAGAGGACAGUGGAACUCCAUGUGUAGCGGUGAAAUGCGUAGAUAUAUGGAAGAACACCAGUGGCGAAGGCGGCUGUCUGGUCUGUAACUGACGCUGAGGCUCGAAAGUAUGGGUAGCAAACAGGAUUAGAUACCCUGGUAGUCCAUACCGUAAACGAUGAAUGCUAAGUGUUGGAGGGUUUCCGCCCUUCAGUGCUGCAGCUAACGCAUUAAGCAUUCCGCCUGGGGAGUACGGCCGCAAGGCUGAAACUCAAAGGAAUUGACGGGGGCCCGCACAAGCGGUGGAGCAUGUGGUUUAAUUCGAAGCUACGCGAAGAACCUUACCAGGUCUUGACAUACUAUGCAAAUCUAAGAGAUUAGACGUUCCCUUCGGGGACAUGGAUACAGGUGGUGCAUGGUUGUCGUCAGCUCGUGUCGUGAGAUGUUGGGUUAAGUCCCGCAACGAGCGCAACCCUUAUUAUCAGUUGCCAGCAUUAAGUUGGGCACUCUGGUGAGACUGCCGGUGACAAACCGGAGGAAGGUGGGGAUGACGUCAAAUCAUCAUGCCCCUUAUGACCUGGGCUACACACGUGCUACAAUGGAUGGUACAACGAGUUGCGAACUCGCGAGAGUAAGCUAAUCUCUUAAAGCCAUUCUCAGUUCGGAUUGUAGGCUGCAACUCGCCUACAUGAAGUCGGAAUCGCUAGUAAUCGCGGAUCAGCAUGCCGCGGUGAAUACGUUCCCGGGCCUUGUACACACCGCCCGUCACACCAUGAGAGUUUGUAACACCCAAAGUCGGUGGGGUAACCUUUUAGGAACCAGCCGCCUAA
RNAcentral lists this ribosomal RNA (1425 nucleotides) under Lactobacillus sp. Its description in RNAcentral is "bacterial SSU rRNA". It matches the Rfam family "Bacterial small subunit ribosomal RNA". The record is from RNAcentral. Lineage: Bacteria; Bacillati; Bacillota; Bacilli; Lactobacillales; Lactobacillaceae.